GUUACUGCUAUCGAGGUUCGACUAAGCCAUGCGAGUCGAAUGUAGCAAUACAUGGCGUACUGCUCAGUAACACGUGGACAACCUACCCUUGGGACGGGGAUAAACCCGGGAAACUGGGUAUAAUACCCGAUAGAUCUCGACUGCUGGAAUGCAUCGAGUUCGAAAGCUCCGGCGCCCAAGGAUGGGUCUGCGGCCUAUCAGGUAGUAGUGGGUGUAGCGUACCUACUAGCCUACGACGGGUACGGGUUGUGAGAGCAAGAGCCCGGAGAUGGAUUCUGAGACACGAAUCCAGGCCCUACGGGGUGCAGCAGGCGCGAAAACUUUACAAUGCUGGAAACAGCGAUAAGGGGACCUCGAGUGCCAGGUUACAAAUCUGGCUGUCGUGAUGCCUAAAAAGCAUUGCAUAGCAAGGGCCGGGCAAGACCGGUGCCAGCCGCCGCGGUAACACCGGCGGCUCGAGUGGUAACCGUUAUUAUAGGGUCUAAAGGGUCUGUAGCCGGCCGGAUAAGUCUCUUGGGAAAUCUGGCAGCUUAACUGUCAGGCUUUCAGGGGAUACUGUCUGGCUCGAGGCCGGGAGAGGUGAGAGGUACUUCAGGGGUAGGGGUGAAAUCUUGUAAUCCUUGAAGGACCACCAGUGGCGAAGGCGUCUCACCAGAACGGACCUGACGGCAAGGGACGAAAGCUAGGGGCACGAACCGGAUUAGAUACCCGGGUAGUCCUAGCCGUAAACGAUACUCGCUAGGUGUCGGCCACGGUGCGACCGUGGUCGGUGCCGUAGGGAAGCCGUGAAGCGAGCCACCUGGGAAGUACGGCCGCAAGGCUGAAACUUAAAGGAAUUGGCGGGGGAGCAC
RNAcentral lists this ribosomal RNA (851 nucleotides) under uncultured archaeon. RNAcentral's name for it is "bacterial SSU rRNA". It matches the Rfam family "Archaeal small subunit ribosomal RNA", at positions 23 to 879 of the family's 1478-position model. The record is from RNAcentral.